GAUGAAGAACGCAGCGAAAUGCGAUAAGUAAUGUGAAUUGCAGAAUUCAGUGAAUCAUCGAAUCUUUGAACGCACAUUGUGCCCGCCAGUAUUCUGGCGGGCAUGCCUGUUCGAGCGUCAUUUCAACCCUCAAGACCCCUUCGGGGGACUUGGUGUUGGGGACCGGCACAGGGGCCUGCCUGCUUGUCUUGCAGCGCCCUCGCCGCCCCCGAAAUGAAUUGGCGGCCUCGUCGCGGCCUCCCCUGCGUAGUAGCACAAACCUCGCAACGGGAACGUGACGGCGGCCACUGCCGUAAAACAACCCAAUUUUAUUAGAGUUGACCUCGAAUCAGGUAGGAAUACCCGCUGAACUUAAGCAUAUCAAUAAGCGGAGGA
Molecule: unclassified non-coding RNA, 375 nt
Filed under: soil metagenome
Description: partial contains 5.8S ribosomal RNA, internal transcribed spacer 2, and large subunit ribosomal RNA
Rfam family: 5.8S ribosomal RNA (bases 1-120)
Source: RNAcentral